GAACAUGCUACGCCGCGUGGAGGACGAAGGCCUUCGGGUUGUAAACUCCUGUCAUGAGGGAGGAACCGCAGACGGUUAAUACCCGUUCUGUUUGACAGUACCUCAUGAGGAAGUCACGGCUAGCUCUGUGCCAGCAGCCGCGGUAAUACAGAGGUGGCAAGUGUUGUUCGGAUUUACUGGGCGUACAGGGUCCGCAGGCGGUUCUGUGUGUCAGAUGUGAAAAUCCACGGCUCAACCGUGGAACUGCAUUUGACACUACAGAACUAGAGUACAGCAGGGGACAGGGGAAUUCAUGGUGUAGCGGUGAAAUGCGUAGAUCUCAUGAAGAACACCGGUGGCGAAAGCGCCUCUCUGGACUGAUACUGACGCUCAUGGACGAAAGCCGGGGGGAGCGAAAAGGAUUAGAUACCCUUGUAGUCCCGGCCAUAAUCGGUGUGCACUUGAUCUGGGAGGAUUACCCCCUUCCGUGUCGGAGCUUACGCGUUAAGUGCACCGCCUGGGAAGUACGGCCGCAAGGUUAAAACUCAAAGGAAUUGACGGGGGCACGCACAAGCGGUGGAGCAUGUGGCUUAAUUCGAUGCAACGCGAAGAACCUUACCAGGGCUUGACAUGAUACUGCAUACGACCCGAAAGGGACGUAGCCUUCGAGGGUGUAUCACAGGUGCUGCAUGGCUGUCGUCAGCUCGUGCCGUGAGGUGUUGGGUUAAGUCCCGCUACGAGCGCAACCCCUGUGUUUAGUUGCCAGCACGUAAUGGUGGGAACUCUAAACAGACUGCCUGUGAAAGCAGGAGGAAGGUGGGGAUGACGUCAAGUCAGCAUGGUCCUUAUGUCCUGGCCUGCACACGUGCUACAAUGGGUGGUACAGAUGGAAGCAAUAUCGCGAGAUGGAGCAAACCCUCGAAUCCAUCCUCAGUUCGGAUUGGAGUCUGAAAUUCGACUCCAUGAAGUUGGAAUCGCU
This 958-nucleotide ribosomal RNA is filed under the name uncultured organism. RNAcentral's name for it is "bacterial SSU rRNA". It matches the Rfam family "Bacterial small subunit ribosomal RNA", at positions 385 to 1336 of the family's 1533-position model. The record is from RNAcentral.